AUGAACGCUGGCGGCGUGCCUAAUCCAUGCAAGUCGAGCGAACGGACGAGAAGCUUGCUUCUCUGAUGUUAGCGGCGGACGGGUGAGUAACACGUGGAUAACCUACCUAUAAGACUGGGAUAACUUCGGGAAACCGUAGCUAAUACCGGAUAAUAUUUUGAACCGCAUGGUUCAAAAGUGAAAGACGGUCUUGCUGUCACUUAUAGAUGGAUCCGCGCUGCAUUAGCUAGUUGGUAAGGUAACGGCUUACCAAGGCAACGAUGCAUAGCCGACCUGAGAGGGUGAUCGGCCACACUGGAGCUGAGACACGGUCCAGACUCCUACGGGAGGCAGCAGUAGGGAAUCUUCCGCAAUGGGCGAAAGCCUGACGGAGCAACGCCGCGUGAGUGAUGAAGGUCUUCGGAUCGUAAAACUCUGUUAUUAGGGAAGAACAUAUGUGUAAGUAACUGUGCACAUCUUGACGGUACCUAAUCAGAAAGCCACGGCUAACUACGUG
This 496-nucleotide ribosomal RNA is filed under the name uncultured bacterium. Its description in RNAcentral is "partial 16S ribosomal RNA". It matches the Rfam family "Bacterial small subunit ribosomal RNA", at positions 29 to 507 of the family's 1533-position model. The record is from RNAcentral.